This 3451-nucleotide long non-coding RNA is filed under the name Canis lupus familiaris (dog). RNAcentral's name for it is "lncRNA (ENSCAFG00030007356.1)". Lineage: Eukaryota; Metazoa; Chordata; Mammalia; Carnivora; Canidae. The record is from RNAcentral.
GGAGUGUCUAUAUAUAUAUAUAUAUAUAUAUAUAUAUAUAUAUAUGAAUAUUUCUUAUGAGUUAAAAAAGACUCUACUUAUAAAAAACCUGAGGAAGCUAUAAUAAUCUAAGUUUAUAAUAAUCUAAGCUUAUCUGGUAUGCUAUUUUUCAUUUUCCCAUUCAGCUAUGACCCUUGUACUUUUACUUAUUCAUAGCUGUCAGACUUGGUAAAUUUUGAAUUUUAAACCCCCCAAAAAUGCAUCCUGCACAGCUUUCAGCGGGGUUGGGGCAAAUGUUCUUUUAUAAAAGAAGCAUCAUAUCCGUGUAAAAAAAGACUUGAAACAGAGAAAAACCUUCAAACUAAAAACUCUCAGCAGACCUGCUUAUAAAGUUCAUUUUAGGGGCAGGAGCUCUGGGCCCAGGAUCAAGUUGGUGAUUUGGCCCUGCCACUUGCACCUGCCAGAUCUCAGGCUCAUCACUUGCCUCUCUGAGUCUCCAUUUCUUUCACAAAAUGGGACCAGAGAUACUGGAGGUAUUUCUUCUGUAAAGCCAUUGCAAGGAUUAGGUGACUCAUAGGUAGUGUUUCUCUUUGGUCCUUGAAAGCUGCAGGGUACUGAAUGGAUAUGAGACCAUUCUUCAUUCUAACUUCUUUCUGAAUCUUUUAGUAGGCUUCUAUUCUUCUGCCAUCUUGAUCUGGGAGCUGUGAUGGGAAAGGUUAGGAGGUGGAGUAUAUUCCAUAUAGGAUGCGGAUAGUUGGAAAUGAGGAAAGAAUUCCAUACCAUCUAUUGGAGGAAGUAGCAAGCAGAAGAAAGUAUAAGAGGCAAUGCUUGGUCCUAUACAAGAUGGGAAAUGGAAUUGGAAGUUUCACAUUAAGCUGGGAUUUCUUGAAAGGCCACACUUUCUAUGAACUGGUGAGACAGAAAAAUCUACCAACCGACAAAGGAAUCUUGGCUGUUUGAACUCGUUCAACACUGAAGUCCUCCAUGUGUGCUUAUCUAUAUGGCAAAGUUACAGGCAAAACUAAAAGUGACUUUGAUUUUUUCCUUAUUCACACUAUCUUUGAUGAUUUCAAUUUUAACCUUUUACUAGUAUCACAAAACGAGUUGGAAACUGUACAUUUCUUUUUAACUGGAAACAUUUAUACAUGAUUAGAAUUAUUUUUUCUUUCUUGUGUGUUUGACAAAUUAGCAUGCAAAACUGUUGGUUCCUAGGUUAUUUCUUGUCUGAGAGGUGCAUUUUAAGCCAUUGAUUCUGUUUAAUGUUUAGGACUGUUAAAAUUUAGCAUUGUUUUCUUAAGAUACAUUGAUAAGUAAUCUUUUUUAGCAAUCAAGAAGUCACUUGCUGAAUCAAAAGCUGCACGGACUUUUGAUAGUUCCAGAAUCAUGCUACUUCUAUGAUGAUUUGCACUAGCAAAAUGCCUUCAAUACCCAAGAAGCCAAGGUUCAGAUUCAACUCUAGCUGCUGCAGAAAACUCCUGCAUUCAUAACUGUUCACCAGCCCAAUGGCAAGAAUACUAGACAUGUGACCUUCUAAUGAUAUGCUGGUUCCACAUUCCAAGUCUAGUAUGUGCAUAUCAGAUCCUGAUCCCCUCUACAAGAGAGAAAAUACAGUUUAUUUCCUGACUUUGGAUUUUAUAAGAGGUCAGCAAGAUUACUAGACAUAUGAUCAACAUACAAAGGUCAAUUGUGAUCCUAACAUAGCAAAUGAGAAUUAAGAAAUGUAAUUUUACAAAAGUGAUAGCAUGUACAAUGGCAUAAAAAAUAUAAGGUAACUGGGAAUUAAUCCUAUAAAAUGUGUGAAUAACCUUUUUGGAAGAAAGAGUUUUAUUGAAAUAUAAUUAAAAAUGUCAAAACAAAUGGAGCAAUAUGCCAGACUCAUUAAUAUAACAAGUGUUAAUAUCCUAAAUAUAUCAAUUUAUCCCAUAUUGAGCUAUAAAUUAGAACUUCCUGCAACAUCUCAGAAAUGUUUUGCAAGGAAUUUGACUAAGGUGUCCUAAAAUUUAUAUGGAUAACCAAAGCUUCAAGAAUACUUAACAAGAUGUUGAUGAAGAGUUAAUGCAGGAAUUUGCCCUUCCAGGUAUCAAAAUACAUUAUAAAACUAUUCUAAGACUGGGUGUAAUUGCCUUAAGGAAAGACAAAUACACUAGUGGAUCAGAGAACACAGGUAUAAACACAUACACCUGGAAACUUGAUUUGUAGCAAAAUUGGCUUUCAAGAUCAGUGGGGAAAGGAUGAGCAAUAAAACAAGUGGAAAUGGAAUAGCUGGUUAUUAAUGUGAGGGGAAAUGACUAAAAUUAGUAUUGCAUCUUACCCCUGAACAAAAAUCAACUCUGGGGUGCUUAAAGACCUAAAAUAUGAAAACAGAUUCUGAGAGUUUUCAAAGAAAUCAUAAGACAAUAUUUUUAUUACUUCAAGGUAUGAGAGCAUUUCUUAACAAGAUACAAAAAAUGCAAACCCUAAUUUAAAAAACUGAUAACUUUGACAACAUCAAACCUAAAACCUUCUUCAUAUCCAAAAACCCAUAAAUAGAGGGGCAUUUUAAUUUGUGGUAAAAUAUUUGCAGCCAAAAUGACUUGAAAUUUUUACUACUAAGAAUAUGUGAACAAAUCCUAUAAAAGAAUAAGAAAAAUAUAAGUAAAAUAAGCCAGAAGAAAAUAACCCAAACAAAUAAAUAGGUAUUUCAUACAAGCAACAGGAAUGGGUAACACAUACUUGAAAAAUAUUUAAGCUCACUAUGGUUAGGGAAAGGCAUAUAAAAACCGUGAGAUAAAAUUUCACACUCAUCAAAGCAACACAAAGAUUAACAUGUCUAAUAUUAUUAGGUGUUGGCAAAGAUGUGGAAAAACAUUUCUAGCACUGACGUGUGGCUAUAAAUGCAACUAUUUUGGAAAACAAAUUGGAGACAUCUUGAAAAGUUGAACAUGGUCAUACUUUUCAUCAAGUAAUGACACUUCAGUAUAUGCCUUUGGGAAACUCUCCCAUGUGCUUACAAGGAGGCAUGUACAAAAAUGUGCUUAGCAGGAUUCUUUGUAAUGUAAAAAUUUGAGAACAAUUUAAAUCCCUGCCAACAGAAAAAUAAAUAUAGCAUGCUCAAAUAGUGUAAAGUUAUACAGCAGAACUUCCCAAAUUUUUCACAUCGUGGCACACAUAAAAAAUAACAUUUGUAUGGCAUGCUGCUAUAACCUAGAGGGGAUUUAGGGUCCUUUAUAUGUAGAAUGCCUAUAUAUUAUGCUUUGUCCAGGACAAUACUGGUUUGUCCAGCACCCUUUCCCAGUUUAAGCUAUUGUACCAGGGUAAUUAUUAACAGUGACUGUUGAAUUUCCAAAAUAUUCUAGUUUGAACAAAAAAAUUAUAAGUUCACGCUUUGUCUAUAGGGCUUAGUGAAACAAAUUCCAUUAUAUUUUUGUUAUAAACACGAAAAAGAUAAAAGACAAUUAUGGAAGCUAUUCAAUACGGGAAUGUUAAAACAUAG